This 253-nucleotide ribosomal RNA is filed under the name uncultured bacterium. RNAcentral describes it as "partial 16S ribosomal RNA". It matches the Rfam family "Bacterial small subunit ribosomal RNA", at positions 524 to 776 of the family's 1533-position model. The record is from RNAcentral.
UACGGAAUGUGCAAACGUUAUUCGGAAUCACUGGGCUUAAAGAGUCCGUAGGCGGCAUGUUAGGUGAGGUGUGAAAUCCCCCGGCUCAACCGAGGAAUUGCGCUUCAAACCGGCGUGCUUGAGGAAGAUAGAGGUGGGCGGAACUGAUGGUGGAGCGGUGAAAUGCGUUGAUAUCAGCAGGAACACCGGAGGCGAAGGCGGCCCACUGGGUCUUUUCUGACGCUGAGGGACGAAAGCUAGGGGAGCGAACGGG